CCAUAUCAUAUCCAGAAAACCAGCUGCAUUGGAAGAAUAACUCACCUCCAUGAAGCUUGAUCAUCAGGCCACCAGGAGCAGAAGCCGGACACUUGGAUCAGCUCAGUAGGACCAGGAUGGCUGCAGACCAGGAGCCUUGGACCUGUAUGCUAGGAAUAGGCUCAGAGCCCAUGAGGGGAAGAGGAAAAGUUCAGGAGUUGGAGAGAAGGCACAAGGCCAGUGUAAGGUCUGGCAGAUUCCGUGACAGUUUGUCAGUUGCUUAAAAGAAAGAGAAACCCUGAUUGGAAUGACUUAUCAACUCACCCUUUUUUCUUUCUUUUUUCUUUUCUCUUUUUGGUGGUUGUGAUUUGAAGUGAUAGUCUAAUAUUAAGGUUCAUAGAUCCCCAUUUCUGAAUGAGGCUAUUUUAUAAGAGAAAAUAAACAGCAGCAGCAGCUUAUAAGUCUAACACCCUGCUCUUGAUCAUCACAAACAGCAUCAAGGCACCAACCAAGAGGCUUUAACUGACAGUUGUUUCACCUCUGACAUUCUAUUGAAAUAGCCCUGAGAAAGUAGCAAAGGCCAAGGAAGCAGGGCAAAAAGCAUUUCAAACAGUUUUUUCAGCAGUUUUAGCUUACAGAGAUU
RNAcentral lists this long non-coding RNA (622 nucleotides) under Marmota monax (woodchuck). Lineage: Eukaryota; Metazoa; Chordata; Mammalia; Rodentia; Sciuridae. The record is from RNAcentral.